RNAcentral lists this ribosomal RNA (225 nucleotides) under uncultured bacterium. RNAcentral describes it as "partial 16S ribosomal RNA". It matches the Rfam family "Bacterial small subunit ribosomal RNA", at positions 15 to 220 of the family's 1533-position model. The record is from RNAcentral.
GAUCCUGGCUCAGGAUGAACGCUGGCGGCGUGCUUAACACAUGCAAGUCGAGCGAAGCACUCUGCUUUGAUUCUUUUGGGAUGAAGAGCAUUGUGACUGAGCGGCGCACGGGUGAGUAACGCGUAUCCAACCUGCCUUACACUCUUGGACAGCCUUCUGAAAGGGAGAUUAAUACAAGAUGUUAUCAUGAGUAAGCAUUUUCGCAUGAUUAAAGGUUUACCGGUG